Molecule: transfer RNA, 72 nt
Filed under: Dictyocaulus viviparus (bovine lungworm)
Lineage: Eukaryota; Metazoa; Nematoda; Chromadorea; Rhabditida; Metastrongylidae
Rfam family: tRNA
About the family: Transfer RNA (tRNA) molecules are approximately 80 nucleotides in length. Their secondary structure includes four short double-helical elements and three loops (D, anti-codon, and T loops).
Source: Rfam by way of RNAcentral
GCCUCGGUGGUGUAAUGGAGAGCACGGCAGACCGGAUAUCUGUAAGUGCGGGUACGAGUCCCGCCUGAGGUU